RNAcentral lists this ribosomal RNA (460 nucleotides) under uncultured bacterium. Its description in RNAcentral is "partial 16S ribosomal RNA". It matches the Rfam family "Bacterial small subunit ribosomal RNA", at positions 338 to 795 of the family's 1533-position model. The record is from RNAcentral.
CCUACGGUGGGCAGCAGUGAGGAAUAUUGGUCAAUGGGCGCGAGCCUGAACCAGCCAAGUAGCGUGAAGGAUGACUGCUCUACAGGUUUUAAACUUCUUUUAUAAAGGAAUAAAGUGAGGCACGUGUGCCUUUUUGUAUGUACUUUAUGAAUAAGGAUCGGCUAAAUCCGUGCCAGCAGCCGCGGUAAUACGGAGGAUCUGAGUGUUAGCCGGAUUUAUUGGGUUUAAAGGGAGAGUAGAUGGGUUGUUAAGUCAGUUGUGAAAGUUUGCGGCUCAACCGUAAAAUUGCAAUUGAUACUGGCAGUCUUGAGUGCAGUUGAGGUAGGCGGAAUUCGUGGUGUAGCGGUGAAAUGCGUAGAUAUCACGAAGAACUCCGAUGGCGAAGGCAGCUUACUAAACUGCCACUGACAUUGAUGCUCGAAAGUGUGGGUAUCAAACAGGAUUAGAUACCCCGGUAGUC